AGCAGCCGCGGUAAUUCCAGCUCCAAUAGCGUAUAUUAAAGUUGUUGCAGUUAAAAAGCUCGUAGUUGAAUUUCGGGAUUGACAGGUUGGUCGCGCCUUCGGUGUGUACUGGUCUAGUCGGUUUCUCCCUUCUGACGAACCACGAUGUCAUUAAUUUGGUGUCGUGGGAAAUCAGGACUGUUACUUUGAAAAAAUUAGAGUGUUUAAAGCAGGCAUUAGCUUGAAUACAUUAGCAUGGAAUAAUGAAAUAGGACGUUUGAUCCUAUUUUGUUGGUUUCUAGGAUCGACGUAAUGAUUAAUAGGGAUAGUUGGGGGCAUUAGUAUUCAAUUGUCAGAGGUGAAAUUCUUGGAUUUAUUGAAGACUAACUACUGCGAAAGCAUUUGCCAAGGAUGUUUUCAUUAAUCAAGAACGAAAGUUAGGGGAUCGAAGACGAUCAGAUACCGUCGUAG
This 450-nucleotide ribosomal RNA is filed under the name uncultured Glomeromycotina. RNAcentral describes it as "SSU rRNA". It matches the Rfam family "Eukaryotic small subunit ribosomal RNA", at positions 569 to 1023 of the family's 1831-position model. Lineage: Eukaryota; Fungi; Glomeromycota. The record is from RNAcentral.